Molecule: transfer RNA, 75 nt
Filed under: Salix viminalis (osier)
Lineage: Eukaryota; Viridiplantae; Streptophyta; Magnoliopsida; Malpighiales; Salicaceae
Source: RNAcentral
GUGGUUGUAGCUCAGUGGAUAAAGUGCAUGUUUUAAUUAAGCAGGAGGUCAUUAGUUCGACCCCCGCCUAGCACA